CCCCCCAAAAACAACCCAAAUUUACACGAGCUGUUUCACGGUUCAGCAUGUGUGGUGGACCUACUGCUAACAGGAAAUAGAACUACAAUAUGAAAACGCUGCAAAAUUGCUGGUGUUUAUUGCUUUUUGUGUCACAAACUCGCCGGGCAGCUGUAUACAAGCUCAGCUACUUGCAGCGUUAGUGGAAACAUGAAAGCUGCUUUUCAUUGCCUCAGAAAUCAAGCUUUGGCUUUCUACCGCUGUUGUUUCUCGUCAUUAAAAACAAAACUUGUCAUGUGGUUAAGACGGAGACCACUGUUACGUAAAAUGAAAAAACUGUAGGAUAAUAGAACGUACAUACAUGACUAGUUUGAAAGAGAUGAGUAGCUCCUUUGUGUUUACAUGAAGCUUGCAAAGUAAGCUUUGGGAUUUAGACUUUUUUUGUUUUUUUUAAGCUAGUAAAGUAGCUGCAAAAUCAAAGUAGGUGAAUUUGGUUUGAUUCGCCAACAAAAUCGACUCAGAUUCUCUCUAUCCACUCAGCAUCUUCACAGAUGUUAAUAGAAGAGGCCGGGCAAUGCUACACCCGGGAAUUAUCUCUUUUUAACUGUGUGGGUGUAGCAAUGUUCCAGUCCGGAGGUUCAGCCUGGCUGCAGUGUGUGUGGGUGUUGUGGUGUGAUGUGGAGAGGCGGGUAUGAGUGAGCAGGCCACCGUUCUGCCUCUGUUUACCUACGGGGAUUACCUAGCCCCGGCUGGCUGGUAGACCACAGUAUGACUUGAGGUGGGGGAGAGAGUAAACACACAUAAGACGAGCUUCGCAUAAAGUCCAGUCUUUGAGAGUGGAUGAGCUCUGAUUUUUCAGCCUGCACAGUAUGUUUGUAGUGUUACAGCAUUCGUUGUAUGUGUCUUGUCAAUCUGAGCACACGCUCCUGCUCGUCACUGUCCUCAAGCCACUAUGGGAGGGACUGCACAGGGACUGUGUUUAUGCCUGGUAGCCACUGUAAGCGCUGGUAUCAUAUGCAUUCUUUGGCUUUGCCAAUACCAUGUGACUGUGGGGCAUGGCGAGCCAGGGGUGCAGUGGAGUGCAAAUAUUACUUCUAACACCCACAAUUGAACACUGCUGCACAGCAGAUGAGGCAAUAUGACUGAGAUCAAUACUGUGGUAUUAAAAAGUUUUUUGUUGUUUGCUUUUACCUCGGUCUUAAAAUUAUAUAUUGAUAUGACAUUGUAGUUAGUGUAUGAGAAAACAGACUGAGUAAUCAGGUUGCUUAGUCUGCUCUUCUGCUUUCCAUUAUAUUAGGUAAAUAUGUCACACAAAAAUCUAUCCUCAGUUUUGUUACUUUUUAACUCGUAUUGAAUAAGUAAUAGUAAGUUAUUGGCUAUCUUUUACAUAUAUAUAUGUAUGUAUAAAUAUUCUUUGUAUUCCUUUUCAAGUUUGCCCGUGUGAGCAAAAGCAUCUUGAGCGUGUACACACACGCACUCUAAACUUUUACCCCUAAAGCUGAAACGACGUCUUCACACGUUAAUGUUCGGUUUGAGCGUGUGCAGAAGAGCUUUGUUUUUGCGCAGCUCUUGAUAGCAGUUCUCGGCUCUCCCCUCCGAUCGACCACAAGCCGUGGCUACUUUCCAGCUGUGUUAUCUAUGUGAAGUCAAGGAUAAUAGCAUGUUUCCUCUGAGGCCCUGAUACAGAUUGUGCAAUUAGGUUUCAUCACACAGUGCUGUGUUCCAAAGAGCAGGAGAUGAUGACUGGGUCCUUGGAGUCUGGACGGUGGUGCAAAGUAAGCAGAUGGCUGACAGAGACUCUGGACGAGAUGACCGGGACAACCCAGAUGAAGUGGAGAGAUGUCAGUUGCCUGAAAGGCAGAGUGACAGCUCGCGAUGAAUAGAAAGAAUAGGUAGUAGAUACAGACUGACUUGUAGAGCAGGGAAAUUGGAUCACUGGACAAAAGUAGUGAUGAUUACAUUUUAAAUGAGGUGAAUUGGAUAGUGUGGAGCAUGGAAGUGAUGUUGAAAAGCAGCAUCUCUAGGCCAUAUCAUCGAGAGCAAAGAGUCUACAUGUAUGACAGGAGAACUUCAUUUCUGAUCUUAAAAACAUUUAGUACUUUGACUCUUUGUUUAAAAUCGAGUAAGCAGAAAAAAAGCACCAUCUUCUGUAAAAGAAGUCUAUUCACAACCCAAUUAUGUUCCAAACACUGCUCUGAAUGCACUAAUCAAUCAAUCGAUAAAUAAAUACAAAAAACAAAA
Oreochromis niloticus (Nile tilapia) is the source of this 2220-nucleotide long non-coding RNA. RefSeq lists it as uncharacterized. The transcript is spliced from 2 exons. The record is from RefSeq and is a predicted model, not a curated record. Lineage: Eukaryota; Metazoa; Chordata; Actinopteri; Cichliformes; Cichlidae.